Clostridiales bacterium PH28_bin88 is the source of this 86-nucleotide regulatory RNA element. It matches the Rfam family "c-di-GMP-I riboswitch aptamer". From Rfam's summary of the family: GEMM was predicted in a large-scale screen for bacterial structured RNA regulatory elements. Genes associated with GEMM are involved in a diverse array of functions, including chemotaxis regulation, signal transduction, secretion and chitin. The record is from Rfam. Lineage: Bacteria; Bacillati; Bacillota; Clostridia; Eubacteriales.
UUGUGCUAAAGGCAAGCCACUCGAAAUGGUGGGGCGGAAAGACAUGGGUCUGUGGCCCUUGAGGGUAUGACUGCCAGGUCGGCGCG